AUGGAAUUAAACCGUAGCCCGAACAUCAGGAGACGCAUGAUGGACGACAGAAGAGAACCAGCACAGAAGCAGAUGGAGUCGCCACACAGCGUCAUACACACUUACUAUCAGGGGGACAUUAACGCUGUGGUGGACGAACACUUUUUCCGCGCUCUCAAUAAAUCCAACAUGCCCAAAGACCUCAGCACCAAGAGCCGAGAGAACCGCAGAACGUCCAAACCCGAUUUUCACGCUCCGUCCUCCUGGUCUCCAUCGUGGUCCAAAAGUGGAUUAUCUCCAGGUUCCCCCAGCCUGAGCCAGAGUUCCUCUGCUGAAGAACCGCUCCAUCCUCAGGGGGUCAUCAUGGGUCCACUGUCUGCUGAGCCGUGGGUUUACCAAGGCAGGCAGGGGUCUGGUUAUAACCUCCCCCAGCUGUACCGGCAGCCUGCAGCUGCACCUGCAGGUGGCAGCUCCUCAUAUCUCCAAUUGCUGCACAUGGAGCGGUCAGCAGGGGGCAUACUGACCCCACCCUCCACCAAAACAGACAUGCAGCUGGAGUGGGCAGCUGGUAACAGCCACAGAGAUGCACACCGUGGCAGGACUCACCUGGACACAGGUUUACAGAUGCCAGAGAAAAGUAAGGACGUGUACUGGUACUGAAAACGCAGAACCGUCCACUCUACAGGGCCAGCUGCUUUAAGAGGGAAAGGUCACGACCCCUCAAAGACUCUUACAGAAGCACUGCUGCACUAAUGAAACACACGGCGCUGCAGACCAGGAGAUCCAGGACAUCCAGGAGAACAUUGUUAUUAUUAUUAUUAUUAUUACUACAUGCCACAGAUAUUUCUAUGCAGGUGUCACUUCACUGGAAGAAGACACCUGUCCUGUCUCUUCUGUUCUUCACCUCCUCUCAACCCCGUAUUAAUCACUCCUCAUGCAGUAACUCACCACAUUAAACUGAAACUUAUUUAUAUUUUACUAUUUUUCUUUUUCAAAAAGUGCAAAAAUGAAGAAACAGCAGCUCAGAGUCCUCCACUGGGGCCACGCCCCCUUUAUUGCCUUGUUGUGAUGUCAUUACUCAGACCUUUCAGGUGUUUUCACGAGCCUGUGGGCUGAAGAGUUUCGCUGUCCACUCAGUGGAACUGAGUCCGAGGAAGAUGCUCUAGAUCAGAAUCUUCAAAUAUUCAAAUAAUAAAACCGAGAAUUUGUUAUAUGCAAAUGAGCUGCUGUCUAACGUUAUACACACAUUGGAAAAGCGUGAGCUGUCUGAACAAUGUCCUCCAGCAGAAGGCAGUGUAGAGCCUGCAUCUUCAGCGUUGCCAGAUUGGGUGGUUUUCUCCUCCAAAUUAGGUUCAUUUUUGGUUUGAUUUGGUGCAGAAAAAAGUGCUUUGGAGGGAAAAGGAAUGAUGGGUAAAAAGUAUUUAUAAUAAUAAUCUGAAUUUCUUCAUAAUACAGCUGAAAUGUGAAUGAGCUAAACUUCUCUACAUCCACUUUGUCAAUCAAACGUUUGAUAACUCAUUUUUAUUUAAUACACUUAUAAUUCUUGUCUUUGAUACAACAUUGCAGUAAAACUCAUGUUAAAAAUCUUAAGACAGAAAAUGAUCCAAUCAGGAUUGUUCUCUUUGGGGUAUCUGGGCAGAUACAGCUGACGUGCUCUCCUAUUGGUUAGGCCUUCAGCAGCUGGACUGAAGGCCUUACAUGCUAGAUCAACAGAUGAACCAACCAAUCACACUCUGAUUUACAGUGGGUGGGGCCAAAAUGUCAUUCUAGUCCUUCUGUAGGUUCUAGAUAAGUGACUGUGAAUAAGAGUUGUAGUCUAAGCAGGUUUGGGCAGAGAACGUGUAGAGGAGAAUUCCUGCUCUGUAACGUCUUCCUGUUCUCAGACACUAGGGGGCGCUCCAAAAAUGAAUGGGUUGAGUAAUGAAAUCAUAGUUUAUAAAGGCUGAAACAUUUUAAUGUAAAAGAAUUCCUUCAUUUCCUGAACAGCAUAAAACAUUUUAACACCGCUGUUUUAUUUAAGAGCUUUUAAACUCAUGUACUUUCAUGACGUCAGUGAGUGCAAACAGCCAAUGAGGUGCUCUGCUCGCCCAUCAAUCAUCAUGCUCUAGCAGUAAAGCCCCGCCCCCUGCUGCCCAAACCCGUUACUGUAGAAAUAAAGGAAACACACAGGUGAAUUUUCUCUGCUGUUUUAGUGAAACUCCGCCUCCUGCUGUCUGACAUUAAAGGAAAGUUCUGGGUGAUUAGAAAUUCGUAUUUAGCCAUUGGGCUCCAUUCACUCCCAUUCAUUGAGGACUCACUCGCUGGCACCCUCUGCUGUUCAGCAGUCCUGUUUUUGAUAUAACAGGGGAAAUAGGAAGUGGCCAGGCUGCUCACAGGCUGCUCAGGGUCCAGGUAGUUGUUAGGAAUGUUAAACAGCAGCUCUGUGUCAGAACUCUACACUGAGUCUCUGUAUCACUGACACACAAGCUCAGAUAUCUGAUAACGUCUGAUCCAAACCUCAGAUAAAACACACAGAAACACACAGAACAUCUUCACAAGCUAAUCUAGAACAGCCCAAACACAUCCACUCUGUCCCACACCGAGACUCAUUUAAUCAUGCCUGCUGAUUGAUUAUUGAUGUUUUGGCUCCUCCUAAACGCUCCUCCAUCUGCUGCUAUUUUCCUGCCCUCAAACCAGAUAAACACAAACAUGACCCAGUGACACUCGAUGACUUUUAUACCGCAUCCAGGAGAAUCUCACGUUAUUAUACACAGAGUAACGUCAUAAAACAAUCAGAAAGAAAAAUGACAUCACAAACUGUAACGAGAAACAACCCCCUGCCCUGACCACAGCCUCAGAUUCACUAUAACCACUGGGCUGUCCGGGGACCCUGCCUCACAUCAUGUCUCCAUCUCAUUCCCAUGUCUUAGUAAGUUGUGGCCACACAUAAUAUUUAUUAUGUCUUAGAAAAGCGCAAAGCUCUUUAAUUAUUUAAUCCACAAACUUGCCUGCAUAUUAAAUCCUCUGUCUAUCAGGCUCUGUGUCUCUGUGAUGAUCCAGCUCAGAAUUCCAGUUCAAAUCUUUCAUGAAGCCGUAGAGUCGCCCUUUCAAUUCCAUCUCACCACGCGAUCCGACGAGACUCACAUCCGGAGUUAUAAGCCUAUGAAGAGGGGUUGAUAUAAAUGUCAUCUGCCUCUCACCGUGUGGAGCUGCUGGAUUCGUGUGUCCGUCUACAUUCUGUGUGAAACUGACCGACGGACACUGCUGAAGUUGCUGCAGAGGUUGUAAAGGUUCUGUACAUUUUUGGUUCAUCAGGGUAGAAACAGGGUAAAUGUUCCUUCAAAACUCCAACAGUGGUUUAAGGUCUGAUUGUGAACCUUAAAUCAGUUUUUCCAGGUGAAAAGUCUUUUCAUAACCGAAUGUUUUAAAACAGACAGACAGGUCAGUACCUCUAUUUCUGAGAGUGUAGGUCAGCGGUCUGCCACAUUUUACUUUCAGCCUGUUGAUUGUGUGGGUGGAGCUUCGGUUGUGUAAUAAAGUGCUGAUCUGCUA
Molecule: long non-coding RNA, 3510 nt
Organism: Pygocentrus nattereri (red-bellied piranha)
Lineage: Eukaryota; Metazoa; Chordata; Actinopteri; Characiformes; Serrasalmidae
Source: Ensembl